Molecule: long non-coding RNA, 315 nt
Filed under: Elaeis guineensis (African oil palm)
Lineage: Eukaryota; Viridiplantae; Streptophyta; Magnoliopsida; Arecales; Arecaceae
Description: long non-coding RNA (EGUI_LNC042412)
Source: RNAcentral
GAUCUAGAUCUCUUGUUCUAGAUCUUGAAGAAGAAGAUCGCUGCACGAACUCUUUCGUGUAGAUCCAUCGGGUUCUGAAUCAGAUCACCAUGAAUAGAAGAAAAUUUUUUCUUCUUCUCUUUUUCUUUCUCUUUUUUCUUCUUAGAUCUGAUCUCUAUCACAUCUUGGCAUGGAGUAUGGAGGAAGGAGGGUAUUGGGGUGUGUCAAAAAGAAGGAAGUGGCGCAAGGAAAAAUAGACAUUUUAGAGCCAUCCCAACUCUCACGCACAUAUUCUCUCAAGCUCAAAAAUUUUGUCUCACCAAAUAUGAUCCCUUC